Molecule: ribosomal RNA, 203 nt
Filed under: Longitarsus atricillus
Lineage: Eukaryota; Metazoa; Arthropoda; Insecta; Coleoptera; Chrysomelidae
Description: partial 16S ribosomal RNA
Rfam family: Bacterial large subunit ribosomal RNA (bases 1-161)
Source: RNAcentral
GUAAUUUUAUUAGAGAGUUCUAAUCGAAAAUAAAGUUUGCGACCUCGAUGUUGGAUUAAAAUUUAUAUUUGGUGUAGAAGCUAAAUAAUUUAAGUCUGUUCGACUUUUAAAAUUUUACAUGAUCUGAGUUUAAACCGGUGUAAGCCAGGUUGGUUUCUAUCUUUAAAUAUAUAGAAUAUUUUAGUACGAAAGGACCAAAUAUU